ACCAGACUCCUACGGGAGGCAGCAGUGGGGGAUAUUGCACAAUGGGGGAAACCCUGAUGCAGCGACGCCGCGUGGGUGAAGAAGCGCCUCGGCGCGUAAAGCCCUGUCAGCAGGGAAGAAAAUGACGGUACCUGAAGAAGAAGCCCCGGCUAACUACGUGCCAGCAGCCGCGGUAAUACGUAUGGUGCAAGCGUUAUCCGGAUUUACUGGGUGUAAAGGGAGCGCAGGCGGCACGGCAAGCCUGAUGUGAAAGCCCGCGGCCCAACCGCGGGACUGCAUUGGGAACUACCGGGCUGGAGUGCCGGAGAGGGAGGCGGAAUUCCUAGUGUAGCGGUGAAAUGCGUAGAUAUAAGGAGGAACACCGGCGGCGAAGGCGGCCUGCUGGACCGUAACUGACGUUGAGGCUCGAAAGCGUGGGGAGCAAACAGGAUUAGAGACCCCCGUACUA
Molecule: ribosomal RNA, 448 nt
Filed under: uncultured bacterium
Lineage: Bacteria
Description: bacterial SSU rRNA
Rfam family: Bacterial small subunit ribosomal RNA
Source: RNAcentral